RNAcentral lists this long non-coding RNA (1876 nucleotides) under Salmo salar (Atlantic salmon). RNAcentral's name for it is "lncRNA (ENSSSAG00000090087.1)". Lineage: Eukaryota; Metazoa; Chordata; Actinopteri; Salmoniformes; Salmonidae. The record is from RNAcentral.
AAAAAAGUCUAUCAAAUUGUAUUUGAUACUUUUCUGGAACACUAUUUGAAACCCUUUUGAAAUAUAUUUUCACCAAACAUAUUUCAAAUACCCUCAAAUACUCUGCUCUAAAUGUUUAGCAAAAGCCAGAUGUUUAUAUACAAUUCUAUGAAUAUAUGUUCUAAGUAAAUCGAUCAAUGAAUUGCUCAAAGGGACUUUAAAGUGGCAAUCACCCCAACACUGUUUUGUUAACUUAAGGAUCUGACCUUUUUUUUCCAAUUUUCGCUUAAAAUGACACCCAAAUCUAACUGCCUGUAGCUAAUCUUUGAAAUGCAAGAGAAAGGCCAUACUUUCAGAUAGGAGUCAAGUGUAGUGUAGAUUUUGGCCACCAGAUGGCAGCAGUGUGUGUGCAAAGGUUCAGACUGAUCCAGUGGAGAAUUACAUUACUGCACAAUAGUUUGUAUCAAGUCUGCCAGGAGUUUGCCCAAAUAUGGCAAAUUGGUCAAUUUUCAAGUAUAUAGCUAUAGAGAACAUAAAAAAAUGUAUUACCAUAGCAUUUUUGUAUCUAACUUUCACACAUCUAGAUGGCCGGGCGGGGUGGGUGUGGAGCCAGAGACAGCAGUGGGGUCAAACUGUAGACCCCAGUUCAUACAUUUGAACAUAAAAAGGGAUUUUAUCAAACAAAACGAUGCUACAUUUUAUCUCUGGGACCCUCAGGAUGACAAAUCAGAGCAAGAUUACUGAUUAUAAGUACAUUAUUUACCUUCAGAGGUGAAUGUAUCAAACCAGUUGCUGUGAUACGUUUUUGUUUUUGUGUACUCCUCAAACGGUAGCAUGGUAUUUGUUCACUGUAAUAGCUACUGCUAAUUGGACACUGCAGUUAGAUUUACAAUAAUUUAAGCUUUCUCCCCAUGUAAGACAUGUCUAUGUCCCAGGAAAGUUGGCUAUUGUAUACAACGUCAUUCUAGUCACAUUAGCGCACAUUAGCAACAACCACUCCGGUUUAGGGACACCUGUAGAGGUUAAACUGCUGAGGGAUGGGGCUGGUGAAAUGUUAUCAAAAGCAACAAAGAUAUUGAGGAUUACCUAAUCACCCAAUAUCUUCCACUAACUACUGAUCCUCUGAAAUUCUGGAAAAAACACAGUCACAUACACCCAACACUGACCAGAGUUGCUGCUGAGUACUUACAUGUCCCAGCAUCCUCCCAGCUGUGGAGCGGCAUUUUAGCAUUGGAGGGCGUAUCUUCAGACCAGAUCGCUGCUCAAUGUCCGAUAAGCUUUUUUGAAACCCUGCUGUUUUUUAAAUGUAACAUGGCAUCUUGCCAUCUUUCAUGAGACACCAAUGUAAGGUAGCCUAGUGGUUAGAGCGUUGCAAGAACGAAGAUCAGCUCCCUGAGCUGACAAGGUAAAAAUCUGGUGUUCUGCCCCUGAACAAGGCAGUUAACCCACUGUUCCUAGGCCGUCGUUGAAAAUAAGAUUUUGUUCUUAACUGACUUGCCUAGUUAAAUAAAGGUCAAAUAAAUAGUGAUUAAAAGAAGUAAGACCUAUACAUGUAAUAUCUAAAUAUUUGUUUUGUAAAGUAAUUGAAAUACCUGAAAUCGUAUUUGAACCGAGAUCUGGUGGUGCCUAUAAAAGUCAGAGUGACAAAGGGUUGUUACAAAGUAGAAAUGGCACAUUGAGGGUCACAACUUGGAGUCAAUAUUGAGACAACAUUGUGUGGUGUGUUUGCCGGGAAUGUGGUGGUCUCCUAUGCAUUCUGUAGUAUGUUGCAGCCAUUGUUAAUUUACUGUAAUUUUGUAUUUAUGUUUAAUUUACUGUUUGUUAUGUCAUGAUGCGGCUAGUCUUUCCAUUUAAAGGUUGAGUGAAAAUAUUGCUUAUAUGGUGAUAGGUAGAGAGG